Molecule: long non-coding RNA, 321 nt
Filed under: Bos taurus (domestic cattle)
Lineage: Eukaryota; Metazoa; Chordata; Mammalia; Artiodactyla; Bovidae
Description: long non-coding RNA NONBTAT026017
Source: RNAcentral
UGGGCGUGUUGUUGGAUUUUUCUUUAUUAAUCGGUGGUAAUAGUAUACACAGCGUUUCUAAAUGACCCAAAUUUAAAUCAGACUCAUUUCUUCCGAACCAGAUCGCUUGUGUAGUCCAUCUCUGCUGGUUUUAGUGGCCUAAGCCGCCACUGCUUUGUGCACAAAGCUCUACAUCUGAACUCUGACCUGCAGAUCUAAAUGAUCUGUAAGUGAUCAUUAAAUGCCCAGUACCAGAUGUGGCAAAUGCCGAGUGGCCGUAGGUCCCCAGCUCAUCAACUCCUGCCCUCUACAUACCUUCACAGCUUCACAGUCAAAGGUCAG